RNAcentral lists this ribosomal RNA (1428 nucleotides) under uncultured bacterium. Its description in RNAcentral is "bacterial SSU rRNA". It matches the Rfam family "Bacterial small subunit ribosomal RNA". The record is from RNAcentral.
GGCUUAACACAUGCAAGUCGAGGGGCAGCAUGGUCUUUUCUUGCUAAGGCCGAUGGCGACCGGCGCACGGGUGAGUAACACGUAUCCAACCUGCCGUCUACUCUUGGACAGCCUUCUGAAAGGAAGAUUAAUACAAGAUGGCAUCAUGAGUCCGCAUGUUCACAUGAUUAAAGGUAUUCCGGUAGACGAUGGGGAUGCGUUCCAUUAGAUAGUAGGCGGGGUAACGGCCCACCUAGUCUUCGAUGGAUAGGGGUUCUGAGAGGAAGGUCCCCCACAUUGGAACUGAGACACGGUCCAAACUCCUACGGGAGGCAGCAGUGAGGAAUAUUGGUCAAUGGGCGAGAGCCUGAACCAGCCAAGUAGCGUGAAGGAUGACUGCCCUAUGGGUUGUAAACUUCUUUUAUAAAGGAAUAAAGUCGGGUAUGGAUACCCGUUUGCAUGUACUUUAUGAAUAAGGAUCGGCUAACUCCGUGCCAGCAGCCGCGGUAAUACGGAGGAUCCGAGCGUUAUCCGGAUUUAUUGGGUUUAAAGGGAGCGUAGAUGGAUGUUUAAGUCAGUUGUGAAAGUUUGCGGCUCAACCGUAAAAUUGCAGUUGAUACUGGAUAUCUUGAGUGCAGUUGAGGCAGGCGGAAUUCGUGGUGUAGCGGUGAAAUGCUUAGAUAUCACGAAGAACUCCGAUUGCGAAGGCAGCCUGCUAAGCUGCGACUGACAUUGAGGCUCGAAAGUGUGGGUAUCAAACAGGAUUAGAUACCCUGGUAGUCCACACGGUAAACGAUGAAUACUCGCUGUUUGCGAUAUACUGCAAGCGGCCAAGCGAAAGCGUUAAGUAUUCCACCUGGGGAGUACGCCGGCAACGGUGAAACUCAAAGGAAUUGACGGGGGCCCGCACAAGCGGAGGAACAUGUGGUUUAAUUCGAUGAUACGCGAGGAACCUUACCCGGGCUUAAAUUGCAGAUGAAUUACGGUGAAAGCCGUAAGCCGCAAGGCAUCUGUGAAGGUGCUGCAUGGUUGUCGUCAGCUCGUGCCGUGAGGUGUCGGCUUAAGUGCCAUAACGAGCGCAACCCUUGUUGUCAGUUACUAACAGGUUCCGUUGAGGACUCUGACAAGACUGCCAUCGUAAGAUGUGAGGAAGGUGGGGAUGACGUCAAAUCAGCACGGCCCUUACGUCCGGGGCUACACACGUGUUACAAUGGGGGGUACAGAGGGCCGCUACCACGCGAGUGGAUGCCAAUCCCCAAAACCUCUCUCAGUUCGGACUGGAGUUUGCAACCCGACUCCACGAAGCUGGAUUCGCUAGUAAUCGCGCAUCAGCCACGGCGCGGUGAAUACGUUCCCGGGCCUUGUACACACCGCCCGUCAAGCCAUGGGAGCCGGGGGUACCUGAAGUGCGUAACCGCGAGGAGCGCCCUAGGGUAAAACUGGUGACUG